AUGUACUGCAUGUAUGGGUGUGGGUGAUCAGUCCAGGCAGUGAUCGGGAACAGCGAUGAGCAUAUCACAUGCAGCUUCUUCUUAGAGAAAGGACACGGCACUACUGGAGUUUAGACAAUGGGGUCUUCUGGUACAACUAUUGAAGCUGUACCCAGAACAGAAAUCAUAUGGACUUCCAGGGCACAGACCUAAGCAGAGCGAACUACAACAUCUGAAUGAGCUACAACAUCUCCUACAACUUUGACAAAUCACACAGCAAUUUUUCAGUCUACAGGAUGAAUAGCAUCAACACAGAAUGAUGAGGCGUCAGUCCUGUCAAACUAAUCUGAUCGAUGUCUAGAAGCAGAAAGUAAGUUCCAUGUAGGACCAAGAAAAUUAUGUGGAUUUGAUACUGUGCCACAAAAAAAGCAUAUAUCUGAAAGUGUGUCUCUCUAUAUUGGUUGUACGAUUGCUGAUCCAUCCUCCCACAGGUUGUUUUUAAUUAGUGUAAUAUAUAGCUGAGUCUCUUCCUACUCAUUGGAGGUCUUCUGGCAUAGAGCGAGAUAACAUGUUGUGUGGCCUUCUGACAUAGAGGUACAACUGACAUAUAUGUGUGUUUUGCUCUCCCUGAAUUUAGAUGCCCAUUAGUGAUGAGCGGUAGGGGUAAUAUCCGAAUUUGCGAUAUUUCGCAAAUAUUUGGGCGAAUACUCAUAAUAAAUUUGCGAAUUCGCCAUUAUUUUCUUG
Long non-coding RNA from Bufo bufo (common toad), 723 nucleotides. RefSeq lists it as uncharacterized. The transcript is spliced from 4 exons. The record is from RefSeq and is a predicted model, not a curated record. NCBI's taxonomy places the organism in Eukaryota, Metazoa, Chordata, Amphibia, Anura, Bufonidae.